Molecule: ribosomal RNA, 686 nt
Filed under: uncultured bacterium
Lineage: Bacteria
Description: bacterial SSU rRNA
Rfam family: Bacterial small subunit ribosomal RNA
Source: RNAcentral
AAGAGGUAUCGACCCCUCUUGUGUCGCAGCUAACGCAUUAAGCAUUCCGCCUGGGGAGUACGGCCGCAAGGUUGAAACUCAAAUGAAUUGACGGGGACCCGCACAAGCGGUGGAGCAUGUGGAUUAAUUCGAUACUAACCGAAGAACCUUACCCAGGUUUGACAUCGAUCGAAAGCCUAAGAGAUUAGGNCCCUGAACCACAAGUUCACGUGAAGACAGAUGUUGCAUGGCUGUCGUCAGCUCGUGCCGUGAGGUGUACGGUUAAGUCCGCCAACGAGCGCAACCCUCGUCUUGUGUUACCAGCGAGUAAUGUNCGGGGACUCACAAGAGACCGCCGGUGUAAGCCGGAGGAAGGUGAGGAUGACGUCAAGUCAGCAUGGCUCUUACGCCUGGGGCUUCACACAUGCUACAAUGGGCGCAACAAACGGCAGCAAUACCGCGAGGUGGAGCAAAUCCGAAAAAUACGCCCCCAGUUCAGAUUGUAGUCUGCAACUCGACUACAUGAGGGCGGAAUCGCUAGUAAACGCAGGUCAGCUAUACUGCGUUGAAUACGUUCCCGGGUCUUGUACACACCGCCCGUCAAGUCACCUGAAUUGUCUUCACCCGAAGUCCGUGGCCUAACUCGCAAGAGAGGGAGCGGCCGAAGGUGAUGGGAGUAAGGGGGACUAAGUCGUAANCAAGGUACC